CGAGGACGAACGCUGGGCGGCGUGCCUAACACAUGCAAGUCGAACGGGAUAGAUUGAAGGUUUACCGGAGAUCUAUUCUAGUGGCGAACGGGUGAGUAACGCGUGAGCAAUCUGCCUUGUACUGGGGGAUAACGACGGGAAACCGUCGCUAAUACCGCAUAAAACUAUGAGAUCGCAUGGUCAUAUAGUCAAAACUCCGGUGGUACAAGAUGAGCUCGCGUCCAAUUAGCUAGUUGGUGAGGUAAUGGCCCACCAAGGCGACGAUUGGUAGCCGAACUGAGAGGUUGAUCGGCCACAUUGGGACUGAGACACGGCCCAGACUCCUACGGGAGGCAGCAGUGGGGAAUAUUGCGCAAUGGAGGGAAAACCUCUGACGCAGCAACGCCGCGUGAAGGAUGAAGGUUUUCGGAUUGUAAACUUCUUUGAUCGGGGACGAAAAUGACGGUACCCGAGGAACAAGCCACGGCUAACUACGUGCCAGCCGCCGC
RNAcentral lists this ribosomal RNA (488 nucleotides) under uncultured bacterium. Its description in RNAcentral is "bacterial SSU rRNA". It matches the Rfam family "Bacterial small subunit ribosomal RNA", at positions 26 to 518 of the family's 1533-position model. The record is from RNAcentral.